This 428-nucleotide ribosomal RNA is filed under the name Clostridioides difficile. Its description in RNAcentral is "bacterial LSU rRNA". It matches the Rfam family "Bacterial large subunit ribosomal RNA", at positions 269 to 700 of the family's 2925-position model. Lineage: Bacteria; Bacillati; Bacillota; Clostridia; Peptostreptococcales; Peptostreptococcaceae. The record is from RNAcentral.
CCAAACACAUAAAGUUGUCCUUAUUGGGGUUGAGGACAUAUCAUAACGAGGAGGUUUCGGAAUUAAAGAGGUUUGGAAAGCUCCACCACAGAAGGUAAUAGGCCUGUAUGUUAAACGAGAAGCCUUUAGAUAUGAUCCAGAGUAACACGGGACACGUGAAACCCUGUGGGAAGCAGGAGGGACCACCCGCCAAGGCUAAAUACUACCUAGUGACCGAGAGCGUAUAGUACCGUGAGGGAAAGGUGAAAAGAACCCCGGGAGGGGAGUGAAAUAGAACCUGAAACCCUGCACUUACAAGCUGGGGAAGCACAUUUCUUGUGUGACGGCGUACUUUUUGUAGAACGGGCCAACGAGUUACGUUAAGUAGCAAGGUUAAGCACUUAAGGUGUGGAGCCGUAGCGAAAGCGAGUUUUAACUGAGCGUUCAGU